GAUGAACGCUGGCGGCGUGCCUAAUACAUGCAAGUCGAGCGAACGGACGAGAAGCUUGCUUCUCUGAUGUUAGCGGCGGACAGGUGAGUAACACGUGGAUAACCUACCUAUAAGACUGGGAUAACUUCGGGAAACCGGAGCUAAUACCGGAUGAUAUUUUGAACCGCAUGGUUCAAAAGUGAAAGACGGUCUUGCUGUCACUUAUAGAUGGAUCCGCGCUGCAUUAGCUAGUUGGUAAGGUAACGGCUUACCAAGGCAACGAUGCAUAGCCGACCUGAGAGGGUGAUCGGCCACACUGGAACUGAGACACGGUCCAGACUCCUACGGGAGGCAGCAGUAGGGAAUCUUCCGCAAAGGGCGAAAGCCUGACGGAGCAACGCCGCGUGAGUGAUGAAGGUCUUCGGAUCGUAAAACUCUGUUAUUAGGGAAGAACAUAUGUGUAAGUAACUGUGCACAUCUUGACGGUACCUAAUCAGAAAGCCACGGCUAACUACGUG
Molecule: ribosomal RNA, 497 nt
Filed under: uncultured bacterium
Lineage: Bacteria
Description: partial 16S ribosomal RNA
Rfam family: Bacterial small subunit ribosomal RNA
Source: RNAcentral